AGAGCAGGGCUCAGAGUUGAGGAGCUGCUGGGAAUGGUGUACAUGGCAGGCGGCCUGAAACAGGGCCAGCAUCUGUCCUAGAUAAGGCGGCGGGUGGCCUACUUGAGCCGGUGCUGGAGCUCCCCGGUGGGCACCUCUCCCAGGCUCUGGGGAUCCUGAGAAGUUUCCUGGAAAGCAGGCUCCUCAACUUUCUGUGUGAUGGACAUAUGACAACUGAGGGGAAAUGUCCCUCCCAGGGCUCAAUUUCUCCAGCUGUAAAAUGGGACUGCGAAAUGGGCCAACCUGCAGGCAGGCUAUCAGGCAGAAGCAACGAGAGCUUAUUAAACUGCUUCGAAAGUAAAAGGCAAGGUGCGUAGUUUGAUGGAGUCAAAAUUUGGACCUCAGGUGAUACUAUGCCUGUUUCCCCAUCCGUCCACUAAGUGGCAGGGAGGGGGUACCACUGUCUACCUCCCACGCGUGUGGUGAGGAUCUCCUGAGGUGAAACUUACAAUAAGCUCAGCACCGGGCCUGGUUAUGUAGUUAGUGCUCCACAUAUGUCAGCUGUGAUGCCAAAAAUCUGCCACUGCCAACAGCAAGAACUGGGGCAAAAACACUCUGGAGUGUCACUUCACAUCUUUUAGCCUCAAUUUCCUCUGUAAGUUGGGAGUAUAAUGAUAGUGCCUGCUAUAUCCGUUUUUUCAUCUGUAAAAUGGGGGCGAUAAUACCUAUCUAAUAC
Molecule: long non-coding RNA, 715 nt
Organism: Bos taurus (domestic cattle)
Lineage: Eukaryota; Metazoa; Chordata; Mammalia; Artiodactyla; Bovidae
Source: Ensembl